This is a long non-coding RNA of Notolabrus celidotus (New Zealand spotty), 2179 nucleotides long. RefSeq lists it as uncharacterized. The transcript has 2 exons. NCBI's taxonomy places the organism in Eukaryota, Metazoa, Chordata, Actinopteri, Labriformes, Labridae. The record is from RefSeq and is a predicted model, not a curated record.
CUGUCUGUUACGCGCACGAUGACGUAGGCAGGCCUCCUCACUCAGAGGGCGGUCACGUGAUCUUUGGCGUGGUGAAGCGAGGCAUCGAAACAUCUCGCUGCGUUCCUUUCCCUCUGAAAGCUCUGCGGGGUGUUGGAGCCUUCCUCCCCCACCUCCAGGUGAACCUUUUCUCUCCCGGGGAUCACGCGGAGGACUCAGGUGUCCAACCGGCUUGCGGGGACACGCGCCCCGGACGGAGGACGUGACAGCAGCCGGACUGAGAGAGCCAGCCUCAAGAGGAUCCUCGAUGAACUGCAGUUUUUAGCACCUCUGCAUUGGACUCAUAUUUUUAGACCGGAGGUUGCCGCUUGGAUUCACCUCACUCUGUCACAUGCAUUCAACGUUUUAUUUGUAACGAAUGUUUAUCUGUCGGCAAACGGAGCGACAUCCACAGCUCUCAAUAUAUCACCAAGUAUUUAAUCUGUCAUCUUGUCUUGAAUAAGCUGACUCAUUCACAAACAGCACAUCACUGUUCAGUGGAAACUUGGCACUAAUGCCUGACAGCUUGUUUGUGGUUGUGUUUCUGUGUGUGUUGUGUUUUCACGUUUUUUGAUUCGGACGUCAGAGGAGAAGAAGAAGACUGGGAGCUGUGGGAUGAGGUAGUAGUUUGUAUAGUUUUAGGAUCACACCAGAUCUGGGAGAUAACUAUACAGCCUACUGUCUUUCUCACAGCAACCAAGCCAUCACCUUCAUACAUGACGGAGACCGCCCAGCCUAUCCGCAUACUGUGUUCAGUUGCCACGGUGACUGAAGCCUCUGUUGCUGACCAACGGUGGUCCUGGAUUACAUCAUGAGCACAGGAUUCACUUUGCCGGGUGUCACCAGUCUCUUGUUGUCUCUUGUGUGUUGACAAACGGGACACAUUUCAGGAAACAUCACCUGCAUGAGUCAUGACUGAUCUGAGUCCCUGCAGCGUCACGUCUGCAGCCACAGGAGGACGACGACCUGUGAGCGUGACGAUGUUUGUAGCUGCGCCGUGGUGAGGUAGUAAGUUGUGUUGUUGUGGGGUGUGGGAUAUUACGACCCCUAUUUUGGAGAUACAACUAUACAACUUACUGCCUUCCACAGUGUGGCAGCUUGAUGCACAUGCUCUCCUAUUUUUAAAGCCACCUCGUAGGUGCCGCUCUCACUUCUUAAAGAUUGUGUGUUGCAUGAUUUGUUGUCUUUAUUUUGUUAUAGCCACCUCAGAUUAUUGAUGUGCUGUUAGAAGAACUGUACGGGGAAUAAAAUAGCAGACAGAUUCCAUGAGUUGUUCUCUAGAGUUGACCAUGACUUCUUGUUUUUCCAACAAUAAGUCUUAAUCUGAGAAUGAGACUGAGGAAAACAAAAAAAAUCUCACAUUUUAGAGCUCUAUUAGAAAAAGAGCUGGAGCUUCUGGCUCAAACCAUACUUUCAUUUUUUAUUUUUUUACAUUUUAAGCUUAAAUUAUACAUAUUUUGUGGCUGAUUAAACAUACUGUUACGUGCCUGCAAGCUGCAUGACAUGCAGGUCAGAGGUCAUGGACAGGAACACUAACAAAAAGAAACUUAAAACCCUCAAAUACAAACAGAUGUAAGGCCUUUGGGGUCUAAAAGGUGGAGUGGAGGUGUAAAGCUCCACAGCCACCCACUAAUUCUACUACAAAGAGUAGACAAACUAAUGAACAAGCCUAAACCAACUAAUAUAAUCUGCAAAAACCUCUCCUGGGAGAUCAAUCCUCUUUUUAAUUAUCCCUUUGCCACCCUCCCUCCCUCCACAUCCACAAACAUACACACUCUCUCACAACACACUCUUCAAACAAAACCCAGAGGUAACAAUUGAAGGUGUUGUCUUCUCUGUUGCAAACACCUAACUGAGGGAAAGGAGCUCCCUUUAUUGAGCAGCCAGGCUGAUGAGCUCAAGCUGGGUGCAAUGAGGGCAGGUGCUCUCAAUGAUGGGCUCGUUAGGAGCCCUGGAGGUCUCAGACUACCUCCAUCUGUAACACGUACAAAAAGAUGAAUUACAUCUCUAACCCCCUCCUUUUUUAACCCUCAUCCAUUCACCUGUAAACUGUUAAAUUUGUCCCUGAAUUCUUGAUGAUUAAAAUCAGUUUUAGAUCUUUGGAUGUUUUUAAAUGUAUUUUUGUCCACAUUAUAAGCACCAAUAAAGCAUACAUUUCAUA